RNAcentral lists this ribosomal RNA (240 nucleotides) under uncultured bacterium. Its description in RNAcentral is "partial 16S ribosomal RNA". It matches the Rfam family "Bacterial small subunit ribosomal RNA", at positions 1259 to 1500 of the family's 1533-position model. The record is from RNAcentral.
AAUGGGAUGCGAAUCUCGAAAGCCUGUCUCAGUUCGGAUUGGAGGCUGAAACCCGCCUCCAUGAAGUUGGAUUCGCUAGUAAUCGCGCAUCAGCCAUGGCGCGGUGAAUACGUUCCCGGGCCUUGUACACACCGCCCGUCACACCAUGAGAGUUGGGAAUACCCGAAGCCUGUGAGCUAACGAAAGAGGCAGCAGUCGAAGGUAGAAUCAAUGAUUGGGGUGAAGUCGUAACAAGGUACC